GAAUAUUGGACAAUGGGCGCAAGCCUGAUCCAGCCAUGCCGCGUGGGUGAAGAAGGCCUUCGGGUUGUAAAGCCCUUUUGUUGGGAAAGAAAACUUUCCGAUUAAUACUCGGAGAGAAUGACGGUACCCAAAGAAUAAGCACCGGCUAACUUCGUGCCAGCAGCCGCGGUAAUACGAAGGGUGCAAGCGUUACUCGGAAUUACUGGGCGUAAAGCGUGCGUAGGUGGUUCGUUAAGUCUGAUGUGAAAGCCCUGGGCUCAACCUGGGAAUUGCAUUGGGAACUGGCGGGCUAGAGUACGGUAGAGGGUAGUGGAAUUCCUGGUGUAGCAGUGAAAUGCGUAGAGAUCAGGAGGAACAUCCGUGGCGAAGGCGACUACCUGGACCAGUACUGACACUGAGGCACGAAAGCGUGGGGAGCAAACAG
Molecule: ribosomal RNA, 424 nt
Filed under: uncultured bacterium
Lineage: Bacteria
Description: bacterial SSU rRNA
Rfam family: Bacterial small subunit ribosomal RNA
Source: RNAcentral